Hypanus sabinus (Atlantic stingray) is the source of this 8729-nucleotide long non-coding RNA. RefSeq lists it as uncharacterized. NCBI's taxonomy places the organism in Eukaryota, Metazoa, Chordata, Chondrichthyes, Myliobatiformes, Dasyatidae. The transcript has 2 exons. The record is from RefSeq and is a predicted model, not a curated record.
UUCUAAAAUCCUGUAAGACUUUGUAUUACUUCGUUUUUUUCGAUGGUAAAAAACGCAUUGAAGAAAGGGGGUGUUACGUCUGUGGCCCCCUCCUUUUUGAGAAUCGCAAGAUCACUAUUAAGUCAGGUCAGGAAGACCCAGGAAAUGAGAGAAAGACAUGCAGAAUCCACAAAGAGUUUGGAAUGUGUCCUGGCCUCCGAAAGGCGGAACCAUUGAUAACGGCUAUUGUCUCUUGGAGACGGAAUUGUGUAUUGAAUACUGUACGAUUCGUCGAAGCCCCAGGCAAUGAACCGGGGGGGGGGGGGGGGUUGAUGGAGGGAUUGCAUCAUCCCAACCUGAUUGACAUCUGAGACCCUGUGAGUCAGGAUAAAAGAGGGUCUGGGGAACAGCCCCUUCAGACGCACCAGAAGAAAUGCUAGAACUCCUGUAACAGCGUAAUAGCGAAAGCCGGUGGAAAAGCCCACAUGCGUCCUUUUCCAUUUGCCUCGGAAUCGGUGGGCCUUUACCACGGCUUUAGCUAACCACAACGGGGAAAUCAGUCCCCAACGACUCUUGAAGGAUUGACAUCAUAAAAGGAAUGGGCAAGUUAAACCUCCGUCUUUCUCUUCAACCAAAAAGCUGCAGCUUGAAUGAACUUGAGUGACUUUUAUAUUUCCAUCGGACAAUACAUUAUCCCCUAGACAACGAUAGAGCUAUUUCUUAUUGAUUAUUAUUAUACCUGCGCUAUUAGAUUUAGUAUUGAUGAUGUAUAUUAUCUGUAUGUUUGCAUUGAUAUUAUUUUUGUGUGUUUUUAUCAAUAAAUACUGUUAAAAAUAGUACCAUCAGACUUCAACGGACCUCUCUAUCUUUGCUGGUAAGUGACCCAGUUACGGGGUACGUAAAACUGAAUAAAGGUAAACUCUUCUGCUAUAUGUUGCCAGUCUCAUUGCAGUGUGUUUCACAUCCCUCUCUGGUUGCUAAUUCCAAAUGGCUCAAAAUUGUGGCAGACACAAUUAAAUGAGCUUAAUCCCUUAAAAGACAAGUGAUGCGCAUCGAUACUGUAUUGAUAGUUCUAUUUGGGUUCUUAAAUGUUAUAUUACACACUUUCACAAGUGUUUGCUAUGAUUCUGUCAGUCUAAUUCUGUAAACAAUAUUCUGGAAUCCAAGCUAUGAUUUCUUCUUUACUCAUUAGUGAAGUUUGGACAUGUCUUGGGUCAUUGAGAUAUCUUUAACUUUUUGGAUGAGACAUUAUAUUAGGAUCUAAUUUUCAGCAACUUAGCAGUUUAGUUAAUCAGUUUGGCAAUUGUAACAGGAUGAAUAGCAAGAGCCUAUAAUGAUUUAAGUCUUUAGGACUGAAGUGCAAAAUCUAUGUUCAUAACCAUCUGUCAGCACAGUUGAGUGUAUAUUAACAUAUUCAAAAGAUUUCUGUCUUCCAUUUUGUGAAGGCUUCAAGCCAUUUUAAAAACAAUGAGGUCUGCAGUGCCUGGCGUUUUGCUGAACACUCAAAGCAAAAAGGCUAUGGAUACUGAAAACCUAAAAUAAAAUCAAAGAGCUGGACAUACUGAUGAAAGGUCAUUGACCUGAAACAUUUACUUUCUCCAGAGAUGCUGUUUGACCUUGAGUGCUUGCAGCAUUUAGUGUUUUCAAUUCUUGAUCAGUUACUUUUGUUGAUCAAGAAAAGAUGAGCAAGUGAGGGUGAGUUUGGCUGUUGGGUUGUAAAGAUGCUUGAAGGUGCAAGAAUUUGAAAUUUUUGUAUGUUAAAGCUUUGAACCAGGAUAAGAAAUGCACUUUUGCUAAGACAUUUACAUUUUUUGUUUACCCAUUGUCACUAAAAUUAAUUUCUGGUGCAAAUUGACUUUGUAGGAUGUCACUUUCGGAUUCUGGUGUAUGGCAAUUUUAUUAGCAGCAUUUCAAAUCUUGGUGUACUAAUUCCUAACAGCUCAUUGAAUAGAUAACAAAUAUUUGGGAAGGAUGUGUUAAGCAUGAGCUGUUCAGUGUAGAUGCUGAAGGAAAAUGAAAAUAUCUGUUUGCCUUGGGGCUGCCCCUUUUCUGUGGUUUGCUUGAGACACAGAAUGAUAAACAUUACUACAAAUUUGAAAAAUAAUGCUUCCUUCCUGUCUGGAUAUUUACCACCUCUGUUGAAAAUGUGGAACUGAAAAUAAGGAGUCUUUCAUAAUCCAAUUUGGUUUCUGCGUUUUUAAUAAUUAUUAACAGACUCUAAUGUUAAAGCAUGAUGAGCAUUUUUUUAAUUUCAUCAGAAAAUUCUGGUAUUUGCUGUUUGAUCAACACAGAUCCAACCACCUCUUGUUUUCCAUUAUCCACUUCAACUCAAAUACUCUUUCCCACCUCAUUUCUGAAGACGAUAAAUAGAAAACCUCAAAAAUGUAACCAGUAAGUGGAACCUAAAACAUUUUCUUACUGUCAAAAUACUUUAAGAACUUAGGACCGAUGGGACUUAAGAAAUAUUGAGGAAAUAUUAUUCUUAAUUCAUAAAGUAAUGCAUGAUUUGAACCAUGAUUUUGAUUGUAUAUCAUUGCAGUUGAAUUUGACUUUUCAUGGUUGCAGGAAUAUUAGUCUUGUCUGUAGGAAGUAAAGUGAUCUGUCAGUAUGUCCCAUUUAACUUUUCUGUAGAGAAGCUGAAUGAGCCUCAUACACACCAUUUUAAGCUUUGGUCUAAUGUUAUCAGUUUCCAUUUGAUGACCUGGAGUAGUGAGAGAGAAUUUAUAGCUCACUGAGAUCUUAAAUGAAGAAAAAUAUCAAGAGCUACAUUUUCUGUGUAUUCUAGGUUAUCAAAUGUAGUUUGUGCUGUUGACUUAUUUCUCCAUGCAGUUGACUAACAGCUAGUUACAAUGGUUUCAAACAAGCUCUUGGAGGAAUUCAGUAGGUUGAGCUGCGUUAUGUGACGAAAACAAUUGUUGAUGCUUUGGGUUGAAACCCUGCAUCAAGUCUAAGGGUGGAAAAGGAAGAUUGUUAGUAUUUUUGUUUGAUGGAUAGCUGCGGCUGUCAGUUAUUUUUGUUAAUCUUGCUGGUUAAUUAUCAUUUGUAGUUUCUGCAGGGAGUUCUACAAUAGUGCUCUUUUCAAUACCCCAAUCCCACUAUUCCCAUUCUCACUCGGACUUUCCAAUAAGAUUUAAAAUAUAAGGGAAUGAAUCUUAGUGUUUCCAUUCCCUGAAAAAUUGUAGCAUUUGUCAGCUAAUGGAUUUGGAUUUGGCCGGUAGAUUGAACGUAUGUUUUCAAGUUAAAAAACAAGGAAAGUUCUAUGGGUUGUGCAGCAUCUAUGGAGAGAGAAAUAGGUUGCUGACUAUUAAAAGUUUCUCUCUCCACCAUUACUGCUUGACCUACUCAGUAUUUCUGCAUUUUUGUUCUAAUUUCAGCCUUUGCAAGCUUCUUUGCUUUUAGAAUACUUUUUCUUAAGGGGGAAUGCUCCAAGUUCUGUUUAAACAUCUAUUGAGAUAGUACUGCUUGAAAUUCUCCUUGUCCUAUCUCACAUUUUUGCCAUAUUUUAAUUUUAAUGACAUUUUUAUCUGUUACCGCAUCUAUAUUUCUUCAGACCUCCAUGGAGUCAUUUUAACGUUGUAGGUGCAAGUGUUAAUGUGGCAAAGAUGUUUUUGAUAUGAUUAUCUUUUGUUAUUUCAGAUAUUUUAUAUAUUUAUCCAAUAUUCUGGUGAAUUUAUAAUAAACCUCUCCUGAGAUAUAAUUGAUUAAAGACUAAAACUCUUAUAAAAUUUGUUUUUCCCAUUGAAUAUAAUGUUUACUCACAAGAUGCUGUAAGAUUUUUCAGAUUGUAUCCAUUCAAAGCUACAGAAUAUAUAGAUAGUAAGCUCUGCAUUGUUAGCUUUUGAGAAUAUAGCAUGGCAGACCUUUUAAGGCAUGUGUGUUAUAAAGAAGCUAUGUUAUGUUGAAUGUUAUAGAGAGAGGCUUCUUUGUUAUUUGGAGGUGUUAUUAAGUGGUGUCAUAAUUCAUCCAUUUGUUUUUCUACAGUAGCUCAUCAGAGGAGUGAUGGCAGCGAUAUAAUGGUCAGUGUCUGUAGUCUAAAAGAAGCUGAAGUCUAGCAGUCUCUGAGAUGCCCGGGAGUGGGAGAUGAAGUCUACAAUAUCAAUGGUUUUGCAGAAUUUCAGUGAUGUCCACUCAUAAGAACAUGAUGGCUAUAUUUAUUUUAAAAGUACAAGUAUUAUUGACUGAUUAAAAUUAUAGUAAUGUUUCUCUGCAACAUGAACAUGUAGUGCUUGUGUGAUCUGUAACAGAAGCAAUAUAAAUACUGAACAAUCAGAAAUUGUAUUCUUUUACAUUCUACCGACAAAAUAAUGUAACAAUCCCUAAUGAGUUUCGGUCUAUUAGUUCAGAGGUAUAAAUAACUUCAUGAUUCAGCUACUUAUUUCAGUUUGUCAACGUUGUUAAUUUAAUUUCGCUUUUUCAUCGUACCCAAGCAUUUUAAGAGUGUUGGCACCAAUCAUUUUUUUAACUAUCAGCUGGAAAUAUGAUGUAUGUACAAAACUAUCCUAGCUUUCAACAUUGUAAAGAAUGAUAGCACCAGCAUGCUUUUACUAAUUAAGUGUUCAAAAUAUAAAUUCAAAGCCCUACCAGUUUGUUAUUUCAAUAUGGAUUAUGAUUGCUGUCCCCUGUCUCCCCCACAGUACCCCAACACACACUCUGAAUUUUGAUUCUUCCUCUUCCAUUUAAAAAAUUAAAUGUAUGGACAGAGUAGAUUGGGAGAAAUUGUUCCCAGUUGUGGAGACAAGAAGAAUGAGGGUGUUUAAAAUGAAGACAAUGACUAAAGAACCAUAAAUGAUGUAGGAAAAGUAACUUACAGGCUGGUGCAUGUUAUGUUAAUGGUGGAGAAACUAUGGGAUAGAAUUUAUGUACAUUUAGAAAGGCAGGGACUGAAUGGGGGUAGUCAGCCAGGCUUCAUGUGGUGAAAGUCUUGUCUCACUAAUUUGAUAGAGAUUUUUGAGCAGGUAGCUAAGAAUAUUGAUGAAGGUAGUAUAGAAGACAUUGUUGAUAGGAACUCUAGAAAGAUGCUUGAUGUGACCCCAGUUGGUGUGCUUGUCUGGAAAGUUAAGGCACAGUGAAUCCAAGGCAAACUGGUUAAUUUGAUCUGAAAAUGGCGUGGUGACAGAAGGCAGAGGAUAGUGGCAGAAGGAUACUUUUUUGGUUGGAAAUCUGUAACCAGUGGUGCAUUGUAGGGAUCUAUGCGUCUCUUUUUGCUUGUGAUAUACAGUAUAUUAAAGACUCUGAUAUGAACGUAGGAGGAAUAAAUAACAUGCUUGUAAAUGACCCAAAAAUUGAUGGUGUUGUGGAUAGCAUGGUAGGUUGUCUAAGAUGAUACAGCAGAUGUCAUACAGAUAGAAAAUUGGACAGAUUGUUGCCAGUUGGAAUUUAUUCCUGAUUGGUGCAAGUUGAUGCAUUUUGAGAAGUCAAGUGCAGUAAAGGUGAGGGUUCUAAGGAAUGCUGAUUAGAAGAGGUAUCUUGGGGUUCCUUGAUAGUGGUGACAUGGGUAGGUAGCUGGAUGGUAAAGGCAUGCUUAUCUACGUGGGCUGGAGGAUAGAAUAUGAAAGUUGGGACUUGUGUUGCGAUUGUACAAAAUACUGGUUGGACUAUAUUUAACGAAUUCUGUUUAGUUUUGGUUACAUUCAAGGAACAUUGUUACUUGGAAUGGAAGACUUUAGUUAUGGGGAGAGAUUGCAUAGGCCAGGCCAAUUUUCCCUGGAGCGAAGAGGUGAUCCGAUUGAGGUAUAUAAAAUUAUAAGAGGCAAAGAUAGGGGAACAGUGAGAAUCUUUUAUGUAUUUAUGCACAGUCUGAGGGUAGGCUGGUCUUUAAAAUGAGGGCAAAUGUUUAAAGUAGGAGUUUUAAAUGAGAUUUGAUGGAACGAUAUAUAGAGAAUGCUCACAGCCAGAAGGGGCAAUGGAAAUAGAUGCAAGCUUAGAAGUUUAGGAUAUGGACCUAAUGUGAGCAUUACUGUGAUUAGUAUAGUAUAGAUGGACAAAACAAUAAAGCGAAGAGCCUAUUUCCAUGGUGUAUAACUCCAAGACCUUGUGAAUGAGUUAUUUGGGUUGGAGUGCACUGAUUUACAUGUUACUAAAGCAACAAAAUAGGGAGAUGUGGCGACCAAUGGCUUCCUUCCAUGCUGAAUUGAUUCUGUUAUUUAGCAUGGACGAUCAGUUGAUUCAAAGUUUUGUUUCCUCUUUUGGAAAUUAUUUGGAUGGCAUCUUUUAACUUGAAAUGAGAUUAUUGUGUUUUUUUUUUCAUUGCUCAGAAUCUCCAUAUUGAAAAUUCAGACAGUUUUGUACAGGUUUGCAGCCUAUAUUAAAGAAAAUUUGAUUGGUUAAAGUGUGCAAGGACUGGUUUGAAAGAAAUUGCCUCUGGUUCAUUUUCAUUGCUAAUUUUCACAAGACAGCCUUAUAAAGAGUGAGAAUAAUAUGCAGGUUAAAACACUGGAUGGCCAAAAAGUAAGAGUAAAAUAGAACUGUCAAAAGCAUAUGACAGAGGACAAGUUGUUAAUGCAAGGUAGAGUCAGGUUGAUAACAGAAGUUUCAGAGGCAAAGCUUAAAAAAAGAUUAGAAAGCAAAAGUAGAGUAUUAGAAUAGUAGCAAACAUAGAAGGAAAUCCAACAAUUUUCUAUAGACAUUUAAAAUUAAGAGGGUUGUAGGUAGAGAGGUGAGAUUGAUCAAAGAUCAAAAAAACUUUUGUUUAUGGAGGCAUAUUGCAUAAAUGAGGUGGUAAAUGAGUGUUUUGCAUUUCUUCAUUGAAGAAGGUGUCGCUCAUUAUAAUUGAGAUUAUGAAUAGACUAACUGCACUUGAUGGGUCUGUAUCCUUGUUUAUAGGGAAGCAUAUAAUGAAAAUAUGAGAAGAAAUUGCAGAGAUCCUGGUUGAACAAGUUAGGUCUCUAUUCAUUGGAGCGUAGAAGGUUGAGGGGGGAUUUGAUCGAGGUAUUUAAAAUUUUGAGAGGGAUAGAUAGAGUUGACGUGAAUAGGCUGUUUCCAUUGAGAGUAGGGGAGAUUCAAACGAGAGGACAUGAUUUGAGAGUUAGGGGGCAGAAGUUUAAGGGAAACACGGGGGGGGGGUAUUUCUUUACUCAGACAGUGAUAGCUGUGUGGAAUGAGCUUCUUGUAGAAGUAGUAUAGGCCAGUUCAGUUGUGUAAUUUAAGGUAAAAUUGGAUAGGUAUAUGGACAGGAAAGGAGUGGAGGGUUAUGGGCUGAGUGCGGGUAGGUGGGACUAGGUGAGAUUAAGAGUUCGGCAUGGACUAGGAGGGUGGAGAUGGCCUGUUUCCGUGCUGUGAUUGUUAUAUGGUUUAUAUGGUUAUAAUUUUCCAAAUGCUGAUAGAUUCAGGCUGCCUGAGGAUUAAAAAUUACAAACGUUACUCACCCUGUGUAAAGAUAUACCCAAUACAUAGAGACCAGUCAGAAUAAAUCAGUGGUGAGGAAAGUUGUAGAAGCAAUAACCAGAGACUGUACAAGCAGUUACUUGGACAGCUGGAUUGAUUUGAGAAAAUAAGCAUGGAUUUUUUAAAAAGGCAAAUGUGUCUAACUAAUGUGAUUGUGUUUUGACAGAGAAGGUCAAUGAUGGAAUUUGGUGAGGUAUAUAUUGACUUCUACAAGGUGCAACAUAGUGUACUUGUCAUUAAGAUUGAAGGCAAUGGAAUUUGAGGGUCUGCAGAACAUUUGUUAAGAACCAGGUAGUAGUAGUUGUGAAAGGUCAGAGUUGAAUGCAGUAUAUGGACCACAAUUUUGUGCAGAUAACACAAAAUUAGGUAUACUGAAAAAGACUUCAAGUAGAUAUGGGUAGUAUGGCAGAAAAAAUGAUAAAUAAAAUUUAAUGCUUUAAUUAAAGUUUUAUAUUUUGAUAGAAAGAAUGAACAGAAACAAUUUAAAAAAGAAAUCAUAACUCCAAAAAAGUUUUAGAUUGGAGAGAUUAUUCAUUUAAAGUGGCAGGGCAGGUUGAGAAAGUGGUUGAAAAGGCAUAGGGUAUACCAGGUGAUUUUGAAGUGACUCUAUACAUCUAAAAAAUGCCCUUCAAUUGAAUCACUAGUUCUGUAAGACAUUAUAAUUUGCAGAAUUAGUCCUAAACAUGAUCAAAAUUGCCAUGUUCAAUGAGAAAUAUGAAGUACUAUAGGCAUUUAACUUUAAUAACAGCCAUUUAAUCACAUCUGAAGAGAUGUUUUCUGUCCAGUGGAGAAAUGUAAAACUUGGCUUUCUUUGAUAAGUUGUUGGCAAUCACAAGAAAAAUGGUGAAGGGAAUUGAAAGCAAAUUCGAUAGAUGCUUGUUGAUGUCGACUAUAUUUUUGUCAGCGAUACCAGAGACAGAUGCCCGUAAAUGAAGAAACUUAACUGGAUGCUGUUCUUCUAUAUGACUUGCAUUUUUAAAUAAUUUAAUUUACUUUCUUCCUGAAAAACCACCUGUUCUCCUCCUCUUGGACAGUUUUGUUAAUUUAAAAAUAAGUGAAAUGCUUCUGAGUAUAUCCUUUCCACUGCUUCUCAACUGGUCCACUAGAAUGCUUAUAUUGAAUCUCGAAUGUACAGGUCUUUGCUUUGGUUAGUUGAUUUGGUGUUUGUUAUCUAUUACAGUGAUUAAUUGGGAGAUGUAUUUCUUCAGCUAAAUUUUAACUUGUAUGUAUGUUCCUCUGAUUUUUGGUUUAAAAAACUAUUUUAUGAUCAUUUACACUGUUUUAGAGGCAUUUCACAUUUGUUGCAUCUACACAGUUGUUUUGUGUAUAUUAAAGAUAAAUCAAUAAAGAUUAUAAUUCUCUUUAAA